UGAUCCCACAGGAUUCUCUGUGUCCAUGGCAAGGCUGAGGGACCUUUUCCUCCGUGGAAAGCCAUGUAUUACAGUGGCAUAGUGGUGAAGCUCCUCUGGAGACACCAGGUGACAGCAGGGCCCAAAAUUAGCACCUCUGAUGUUUUUCAGCUCCUUCUGAAGAGGAAAAGCCUUCACAGCUCACACCCCCUCUGUGUCCACCCUCAAGCACACAGGAAUUGGGUUUUUUACCCCACAGAAAGUGGUUGGGAAUCAUUCCAAGCCCCUCCAGGUGGUUCAAUGCCGGGCCAAACUCAACUGGACUCCAUGACCUUGGAGGGCUUUUCCAACCUUAAUGAUUCUUUAGGAUUCUGUGUGUCCAUGGCCAAGGCUGAGGGACCUUUUCCUCUGUGCAAGGGCAGAGCAGAGAAUCCCGUGUGUGGUGUGAUGUCUGGUGGCAUUGGGCACCUUCUCUGGGUGCUGUGCAUCCAGCUGGUGAUUUACAGGAUCAUCUUCCAGUGGGGAAUGUCUCUGGCUCCUCUGUGUUUUCCUGCAAUCUGUGCUCCAGUAGAUGCUCAGUCUUUCCUUACCUCAGGUGGCAGGAGUUUCUUGGAGAAACACCCCAAAUCUCCUUAAAGCUUUAAUUCCUUUUAAUCCUGCUCUCUGCAUCAGGAAUACUAGACUUAAAUCAGCCACACAGUCCAUUUAGCACAGGCAUGAAGCUGCUCUGGAGACACCAGGUGACAACUGGGCCCAAAAAUUAGCACCUCUGAUAUUUUUCAGCUCCUUCUGAAGAGGAAAAGCCUUCACAGCUCACACCCCCUCUGUGUCCACCCUCAAGCACAGAGGAACAGGUGCCUUCAUUUACUGAAAAAUGCUUUUUGUUCUAGUUGUUUUAACUUGUUUUUUGCACCACAGAAGGUGGCCAAGAAUCAUUCCAGGCCCCUCCAGGUAGUUCAGUGCCAUGGCAGACACAAGUGAAGGUUUUCCACUCAUCACCCUCUGAUCUUGAUCUACUUCUUCUUCAUUGCUCUGCAGCUCAUCUUUGAAGGGAUCCGUGGCCCUGGCAUCGAAGGGGACAUUGCCAUCGAUGACGUGUCCAUUGUGGAAGGGGAGUGCAUGAAGUCAGACCAACCGGCCAACAAUUUACGAUCAGGUGCUGUUGGGACAUUCUCACAUAUACGACUCCUCCCACUUCUCCUCCUCAUGUCUGUCUUAAGUCAUCAGAGGUGACCUUAUCCUGGCAGAGGCUACAAAAGAUUCACCAGGCACUGGCAUGAAGAAGAAAAGAGUCUUUGUAAAACGGACAUUUUAAAAACAAACUACCAAAGAUUCCUCCACUGAACUGACUCGAGAAAGUUAAAUAAGUACGUAAAUAAAUAAUUAAAAAAUGAACAGAACAAAACAAACAAACAAAAAAAAAAGGUAAUUAAGAAAGCACUGGGGACAUAAAAGGCAUCACGAGCCACGUGUGAGGAUGGGAUCUGGCCUAAGGAAGGAAGAGACCUUCAGGUGCUUUUGUGGUCAAUGAUGAAUUGAGCAUCAUCUGGUUGAACUCUCGGCGAAGAGCUAUAGAAACCCUUGUCAAAGCACAAAAAGUCAUGGCUGGUUUUGUUUCAAAUGAAUAGUUUGCUUGUUACCAUGGAAACCUAAUGGCCUGCCAAAAAAACAAAAACAAAAACAAAAACAAAAAAAAAGGAGAGAGGAAAUAAAGAACAAGAAAAAAGAGAGAGAGAAACACCUCACUGUAAACAGGGUAUGUGAAGAGCUGGCAUUCAUUUCCCCCUGCAGAAGGUUUUUUUAGUGUGGAGUUAAACAAAUGUAGGCCCUUCCUACUUUGACUGUCGCCUCCCUUAGGGAAUCACCCGGGAUCAGAGCCGGUUUCAGACGUUCCUGUUUUCAUUUCUCAUGGCUCUGCUUGAGAACUGUGUGUGCUGUCUCCUCUUUGCAUGCAUUUCCCAGCCAGGACGUGCCACCCUGGGCUUUACACGUUAUUACACGGGAUUUUUCCGGGAUUUUCGGAGUUUGCUUGCGGCCACUUCGCCCCCUCCCCUCUCCCUCCUCCCCUCCUCCCCUCCUCCCCCGACCCGAGUCAUCCGUUCCAACGAAGGGAAGAAACCAAACCACCGUCUUUUAUAAAUUGCCAUGGAAACCAAGUGCCUUCAAUGAAACAAGCCUGAGUUAAAACAAAAAAA
Molecule: long non-coding RNA, 2174 nt
Organism: Manacus vitellinus (golden-collared manakin)
Lineage: Eukaryota; Metazoa; Chordata; Aves; Passeriformes; Pipridae
Exons: 2
Source: RefSeq, a predicted model, not a curated record